This 499-nucleotide ribosomal RNA is filed under the name uncultured soil bacterium. Its description in RNAcentral is "bacterial SSU rRNA". It matches the Rfam family "Bacterial small subunit ribosomal RNA", at positions 26 to 518 of the family's 1533-position model. The record is from RNAcentral.
AGAUUGAACGCUAGCGGGAUGCUUUACACAUGCAAGUCGAACGGCAGCGCGGACUUCGGUCUGGCGGCGAGUGGCGAACGGGUGAGUAAUAUAUCGGAACGUGCCCAGUAGCGGGGGAUAACUACGCGAAAGCGUGGCCAAUACCGCAUACGCCCUACGGGGGAAAGGGGGGGAUUCUUUCGAGAACCUCUCACUAUUGGAGCGGCCGAUAUCAGAUUAGCUAGUUGGUGAGGUAAAGGCUCACCAAGGCGACGAUCUGUAGCUGGUUUGAGAGGACGACCAGCCACACUGGGGACUGAGACACGGCCCAGACUCCUACGGGAGGCAGCAGUGGGGAAUUUGGACAAUGGGGGAAACCCUGAUCCAGCCAUCCCGCGUGUGCGAUGAAGGCCUUCGGGUUGUAAAGCCCUUUUGUGGUAAAGAAAGCAUUACGGUUAAUACCGGUGUUCGUGACGGUACCCAAAGAAUAACGCACCGCUAACUCGCGCCAGCACGCCGC